Cyprinus carpio (common carp) is the source of this 1355-nucleotide long non-coding RNA. Lineage: Eukaryota; Metazoa; Chordata; Actinopteri; Cypriniformes; Cyprinidae. The record is from Ensembl.
GUGUGCCAUGUGGGUGCAGAAUCUCAGGAAUGGAUCUUUGAUGGGGAUAAGCUCUCAGCGGCUCCAUCACAACUAUAGGGUGUGCAGUGCACAUUUUCACGCUAGCCAGUUUAAGAGACCAUCUGAUGUCCAUGCAGGAUUGAAAUGGGAUGCAGUGCCCACAAUGGUUAAUGACCCUAACCCACCACCCCAAUUGGACUUGGAGUUAAAGAGAAAGCCACGAAAGACGUGUCAGGAGUUACCACAAAAGAGACGUAAAAAAAAAAAGUAAUAUUGUUUACCUGCCAAAUACCGGCUCAACCACUGCAAACAGUGUUCAACAACCCACUGGUUCAGAGACCGAUAUUACCUCUCCUGAUGCUUCAGGAGCAAGACCUUCGAUGUCACUGACUCCACUGUUGACCCCAAUGUCACUGCCAACAGGCCUUGAAGCGUCUGCCAGGGAACAUGCCCUGAAGAUGAAGAUUAGGAGUCUGAAGGUACAGGUGUGCAAACUGAAGGCAGAAGUGAACAGGCUGAAGAAGACCAGGAAGGCCUGUGUUAAUAAGGAGUCAGUGAUGAAGCAGUUGAAGAAACUCUUACCAGCAAAAGCAUAUGCUUUUGUGAGUGAACAGAUACAUAUGUUUCAACGGAAGGCUCAUGGUUUUCAGUGGACCACUCAGGACAAAGCUUUCUUCUUGUCUCUGCUACAUGCCAGUCCAAAGUGUUACAGGCUGCUGUUUAAAGUGUUUUCUAUGCCAUCUGUCCGCACACUGCAGAAGCUUAUGAAGUCUGUCAAUAUUGAGAAGAGUAUUGGCAAACACAGCUAUGCAAGAGUGCCUGCUGACUGUAGAGUAGAUGAAACGGGCACCAUAUAUGAAGAUCCACCAGUCACUGCCAAAGCUGAACAGGUGGAGCAGCCCAUAGACCAUACACUUGACAAUCAGUUUGAUUCCCACCAAAUAUCUUCUUUUAGUUUUGGAGAUCAUGAACAGUGAUGCUGUGCUGAAGUCUGAUGUGAGGGUGUCCUACCAAAACAUGUCCUGGACCUGCUGAGUGACAUGAGAUAAGGUCACCAGUUUCAGCAGCAUUUGCCUUUGACCGUGAUGGAAGUGUACUGGUUUACAUAGCUGGGUAUAUGGCCAGUAAGGUUGUGGGGAAAUAAGCUGUCAGUGAAGAUUUUCCACUGUAAGGAAUGUAAAAUCUCGACCACAGAUAUCCCUGCUGAUUCACAGUACACAUUCGUCAAAGACAAACUGUAUACUGACCUCAACUUAGGAGAGAAGAGCCUUAAAGUGGCCAGCAUGGCACUGGUGAAUUUAGUCAAAGCUCUGGAGUCUAACUUCCAAAGGAAUAAAUAAAUAAAGAUCAGCUCA